GGUUGCAAUCGUCUAAUUAUUUAUUAUGACAACAUGGAAGUAAUUAAUACAAUGAAGAACGGAGGUUAUUCUGCAGGAGCGGCAGCUGCAAUUUUUUAGGAUUGCUUUUUUAUGGCUUGUGAAUUUCCUCUUACUAGUUUUCAGCAUUGUAAUUGAGAAGCGAACAAAGUAGCCUAUGAGCUUGCUAGAUUAGCAAAAUGAUCCAUGAUUAGAGAUUGGAUUGAGGAGCCCAUGGAAAAAAUUAUAUCUCUCUUUAUAGACGAUGUAACCAUUAUCUCUAAUUAA
This 285-nucleotide ribosomal RNA is filed under the name Triticum aestivum (bread wheat). Its description in RNAcentral is "partial small subunit ribosomal RNA". Lineage: Eukaryota; Viridiplantae; Streptophyta; Magnoliopsida; Poales; Poaceae. The record is from RNAcentral.